Molecule: ribosomal RNA, 492 nt
Filed under: uncultured bacterium
Lineage: Bacteria
Description: partial 16S ribosomal RNA
Rfam family: Bacterial small subunit ribosomal RNA
Source: RNAcentral
AGUGAACGCUGGCGGUAGGCCUAACACAUGCAAGUCGAACGGCAGCACAGUAAGAGCUUGCUCUUACGGGUGGCGAGUGGCGGACGAGUGAGGAAUACAUCGGAAUCUACUUUUUCGUGGGGGGUAACGUAGGGAAACUUACGCUAAUACCGCAUACGACCUACGGGUGAAAGCAGGGGAUCUUCGGACCUUGCGCGAUUGAAUGAGCCGAUGUCGGAUUAGCUAGUUGGCGGGGUAAAGGCCCACCAAGGCGACGAUCCGUAGCUGGUCUGAGAGGAUGAUCAGCCACACUGGAACUGAGACUCGGUCCAGACUCCUACGGGAGGCAGCAGUGGGGAAUAUUGGACAAUGGGCGCAAGCCUGAUCCAGCCAUACCGCGUGGGUGAAGAAGGCCUUCGGGUUGUAAAGCCCUUUUGUUGGGAAAGAAAAGCAGCAGGUUAAUACCCCGCUGUUCUGACGGUACCCAAAGAAUAAGCACCGGCUAACUUCGUG